AUACGGAGGAUCCGAGCGUUAUCCGGAUUUAUUGGGUUUAAAGGGUGCGUAGGCGGCCUUUUAAGUCAGCGGUGAAAGUCUGUGGCUCAACCAUAGAAUUGCCGUUGAAACUGGGGGGCUUGAGUAUGUUUGAGGCAGGCGGAAUGCGUGGUGUAGCGGUGAAAUGCAUAGAUAUCACGCAGAACCCCGAUUGCGAAGGCAGCCCGCCAAGCCAUGACUGACGCUGAUGCACGAAAGCGUGGGGAUCAAACAGGAUUAGAUACCCUGGUAGUCCACGCAGUAAACGAUGAUCACUAGCUGUUUGCGAUACACUGUAAGCGGCACAGCGAAAGCGUUAAGUGAUCCACCUGGGGAGUACGCCGGCAACGGUGAAACUCAAAGGAAUUGACGGG
This 392-nucleotide ribosomal RNA is filed under the name uncultured bacterium. Its description in RNAcentral is "partial 16S ribosomal RNA". It matches the Rfam family "Bacterial small subunit ribosomal RNA", at positions 523 to 917 of the family's 1533-position model. The record is from RNAcentral.